Molecule: microRNA precursor, 63 nt
Organism: Gadus morhua (Atlantic cod)
Lineage: Eukaryota; Metazoa; Chordata; Actinopteri; Gadiformes; Gadidae
Source: Ensembl
AAUGACACGUUUUCUCCCGGAUUGCGAAACGCACGAGCGGCAACCGGGAAUCUCGUGUCAGCU